RNAcentral lists this long non-coding RNA (227 nucleotides) under Vigna radiata. RNAcentral describes it as "long non-coding RNA (VRAD_LNC015475)". Lineage: Eukaryota; Viridiplantae; Streptophyta; Magnoliopsida; Fabales; Fabaceae. The record is from RNAcentral.
UCACGGUUACUUUUCAGUUAAUAGUCAUCUUCCAUAUGAACAAGAGUGGAGAUAACUAGUUUAUAUCACUUUUCCUUGCUAAUGCAGGACCAAAUGCAUAUAUAGUUCAAAGGUGUCUAAUCUAAGUCUAACUGGCAAAUGAAAAGCAGAACCACUUUGGCCUAUUUUGUUUAUGAGGAUAUUUUCUUUUUUAGAGAAUUAAUGGAAAGGACAAUCAAUAAUGCUAA